UAGAGUCUGAUCAUGGCUCUGGAUGUAUGCUAGCGGCAGUCUCAGACGUGCAAGUCGAGGGGCAGCAGGGGUAGCAAUACUCGCUGGCGACCGGCAAACGGGUGAGGAACAUGUACGCAACCUUCCUUUAAAUGGAGGAUAGCCCCUCGAAAGAGGGAUUAAUACUCCGUAACAUAAUGAAGUGGCAUCACUUUAUUAUUAUAGCUCCGGCGGUUAAAGAUGGGCGUGCAACUGAUUAGAUAGUCGGCGGGGUAACGGCCCACCAAGUCUGCGAUCAGUAAGUGGUGUGAGAGCACGACCAGUCACACGGGCAGUGAGACACGGGCCCGACUCUUACGGGAGGCAGCAGUAAGGAAUAUUGGUCAAUGGACGCAAGUCUGAACCAGCCAUGCCGCGUGGAGGAUUAAGGCCCUUUGGGUUGUAAACUCCUUUUAUGUGGGAAGAAAUGUGUUUUUUAUAAGACACUUGACGGUACCAGAGGAAUAAGCACCGGCUAACUCCGUGCCAGCAGCCGCGGUAAUACGGAGGGUGCAAGCGUUAUCCGGAUUCACUGGGUUUAAAGGGUGCGUAGGCGGGCAGAUAAGUCAGUGGUGAAAUCUUCGAGCUUAACUCGGAAACUGCCGUUGAUACUAUUUGUCUUGAAUAUUGUGGAGGUAAGCGGAAUAUGUCAUGUAGCGGUGAAAUGCUUAGAUAUGACAUAGAACACCAAUUGAGAAGGCAGCUUACUACACAAUGAUUGACGCUGAGGCACGAAAGUGUGGGGAUCAAACAUGAUUAGAUACCCUGGUAGUCCACGCCAUAAACGAUGAUUACUCGACAUACGCCGAUAUACUGUGUGCGUCCGAGCGAAAGCAUUAAGUAAUCCACCUGGGAAGUACGAUCGCAAGAUUGAAACUCAAAUGAAUAGAUGGAUCCCGC
Molecule: ribosomal RNA, 918 nt
Filed under: uncultured bacterium
Lineage: Bacteria
Description: bacterial SSU rRNA
Rfam family: Bacterial small subunit ribosomal RNA
Source: RNAcentral